CGGGGGUCCGGAGCCUGUCGCGGCUGCUAAGCGCUCGGCGCCUGGCGCUGGCGCUGGCCAAGGCUUGUUGCAAACAGGAACCCGAGGUGUUCACUUCACUGUUGAAGGAACGAGAGGGCAUCUGCUAAAGUUUCAGAUUCCAUUUCUGCUCAGUAUCCAGUAGUGGAUCAUGAAUUUGAUGCAGUGGUGGUAGGCGCUGGAGGGGCAGGCUUUGCGAGCUGCAUUUGGCCUUUCCGAGGCAGAGUUUGAUACAGCAUGUGUUACCAAGCUGUUUCCUACCAGGUCACACACUGUUGCAGCGCAGCUAGAAAAUUAUGGCAUGCCGUUUAGCAGAACUGAAGAUGGGAAGAUUUAUCAGCGUGCAUUUGGUGGACAGAGCCUCAAGUUUGGAAAGGGCAGGCAGGCCCAUCGGUGCUGCUGUGUGGCUGAUCGGACCGGCCACUCAAUAUUGCACACCUCAUAUGGGAGGUCUCUGAGAUAUGAUACCAGCUGUUUUGUGGAGUAUUUUGCCUUGGAUCUCCUGAUAGAGAACAGGGAGUGCCGUGGUGUCAUUGCACUGUGCAUAGAGGACGGGUCCAUCCAUCACAUAAGAGCAAAGAACACUGUUGUUGCCACAGG
This 618-nucleotide long non-coding RNA is filed under the name Homo sapiens (human). Its description in RNAcentral is "lncAB429.1". Lineage: Eukaryota; Metazoa; Chordata; Mammalia; Primates; Hominidae. The record is from RNAcentral.